Molecule: ribosomal RNA, 496 nt
Filed under: uncultured bacterium
Lineage: Bacteria
Description: partial 16S ribosomal RNA
Rfam family: Bacterial small subunit ribosomal RNA
Source: RNAcentral
GAUGAACGCUGGCGGCGUGCCUAAUACAUGCAAGUCGAGCGAACAGAUGAGGAGCUUGCUCCUCUGACGUUAGCGGCGGACGGGUGAGUAACACGUGGAUAACCUACCUAUAAGACUGGGAUAACUUCGGGAAACCGGAGCUAAUACCGGAUAAUAUAUUGAACCGCAGGGUUCAAUAGUGAAAGACGGUUUUGCUGUCACUUAUAGAUGGAUCCGUGCCGCUUUAGCUAGUUGGUAAGGUAACGGCUUACCAAGGCGACGAUGCGUAGCCGACGCGAGGGGGUGAGCGGCCCCUGGGAACCUGAGACGGGCCCCAGCCUCCCGCGGGGCGCAGGAGGGGGAACUCUUCCGAUAUGGGCGAGAGCCUGAGGGCGACGCGCCGCGUGUGUGGUCAAGCUUCGCGGUUCGUAAAACUCUUUUAUUGGACGAAAAGAAAUCUUGAAAUAACUAUGCACGUUUUGCCGUUACCUAAUCAAAAAGCCCCGCCUACUACGUG